RNAcentral lists this ribosomal RNA (443 nucleotides) under uncultured bacterium. RNAcentral's name for it is "partial 16S ribosomal RNA". It matches the Rfam family "Bacterial small subunit ribosomal RNA", at positions 338 to 795 of the family's 1533-position model. The record is from RNAcentral.
CCUACGGGUGGCUGCAGUGGGGAGUAUUGGACAAUGGGGGGAACCCUGAUCCAGCGACGCCGCGUGAGUGAAGAAGUAUUUCGGUAUGUAAAGCUCUAUCAGCAGGGAAGAAAGGAAUGACGGUACCUGACUAAGAAGCCCCGGCUAACUACGUGCCAGCAGCCGCGGUAAUACGUAGGGGGCAAGCGUUAUCCGGAUUUACUGGGUGUAAAGGGAGCGUAGACGGCAGCGCAAGUCUGAAGUGAAAUCCCAGGGCUUAACCAUGGAACUGCUUUGGAAACUGGGCAGCUGGAGUGCAGGAGAGGUAAGCGGAAUUCCUAGUGUAGCGGUGAAAUGCGUAGAUAUUAGGAGGAACACCAGUGGCGAAGGCGGCUUACUGGACUGUAACUGACGUUGAGGCUCGAAAGCGUGGGGAGCAAACAGGAUUAGAUACCCCUGUAGUC